Molecule: small RNA, 181 nt
Filed under: Ictidomys tridecemlineatus (thirteen-lined ground squirrel)
Lineage: Eukaryota; Metazoa; Chordata; Mammalia; Rodentia; Sciuridae
Description: TUC338 (ENSSTOG00000030286.1)
Source: RNAcentral
AAGAUGCCACCUUCUGCAGUCUUCUUUGCAGGGGCCAGGACAGGUACAGCACAGGCAGUGAGAGUGCAAGCUUUUCCCAUAGCACCUCAUCCAUGUGCCUCAACCUUGACAUAAAGGGACCCCUCUAGAGACCUGUGCCACUCAAGGAUGGUCUGCCAUUCCCUAACUAUCCUUGACCAAG